GACGAACGCUGGCGGCGUGCCUAAUACAUGCAAGUUGAGCGCUGAAGGUUGGUACUUGUACCAACUGGAUGAGCAGCGAACGGGUGAGUAACGCGUGGGGAAUCUGCCUUUGAGCGGGGGACAACAUUUGGAAACGAAUGCUAAUACCGCAUAAAAACUUUAAACACAAGUUUUAAGUUUGAAAGAUGCAAUUGCAUCACUCAAAGAUGAUCCCGCGUUGUAUUAGCUAGUUGGUGAGGUAAAGGCUCACCAAGGCGAUGAUACAUAGCCGACCUGAGAGGGUGAUCGGCCACAUUGGGACUGAGACACGGCCCAAACUCCUACGGGAGGCAGCAGUAGGGAUUCUUCGGCAAUGGACGAAAGUCUGACCGAGCAACGCCGCGUGAGUGAAGAAGGUUUUCGGAUCGUAAAACUCUGUUGGUAGAGAAGAACGUUGGUGAGAGUGGAAAGCUCAUCAAGUGACGGUAACUACCCAGAAAGGGACGGCUAACUACGUG
This 497-nucleotide ribosomal RNA is filed under the name uncultured bacterium. Its description in RNAcentral is "partial 16S ribosomal RNA". It matches the Rfam family "Bacterial small subunit ribosomal RNA", at positions 28 to 507 of the family's 1533-position model. The record is from RNAcentral.